RNAcentral lists this long non-coding RNA (8075 nucleotides) under Canis lupus familiaris (dog). Its description in RNAcentral is "lncRNA (ENSCAFG00000054298.1)". Lineage: Eukaryota; Metazoa; Chordata; Mammalia; Carnivora; Canidae. The record is from RNAcentral.
UUUUUUUUUUUCUUUUUUUUUUUUUUCUCUCCACUUUACUGAAACACCCACCCACAAAGUUACUCAGCAGGUAACUGAAAUACGGAGCAUUUCAAGGAUUAGGUGUGUUUGACAGCACAAUCCUGGGUUGAUGGCGUGAACGGUGUGUUUCAAGUCUGAGGUUGGUGGUGAUUAUUUUCCUCGUUGAGUGGUUGAAACCUUGGGGAUGGGAACUAUGCCACCUUCUCCUCAGCACCUUUCCUGAUGCGUGUUAGCUACUUAGUACAUAGUUGUAGUAGGUGAUGGGUUGAUUAGUCAACUACUUGUCUGUCUAGCUUCACAAAGGGAGUUAGUUAUGCUACAAGUGUUGAACAUACUUAGCCAGUGACAGAAAACAGAUGUGGUUUGAACCCUAUAAAUGAUUUAAUUCAGAAAACAGUUAAAUAUGAUCAUAUUGUUUUAUGUAUCCAGCUCAAUGAGAAUUGCUUGCACAGGUCAUAUGAGUGAGGAUUGAAUGAGUUAAUAUUUCUAGAGCACUUUAGGUGUGCCGAAUACAUAGUAACAGUAAGUAGUAGCUACUCUUUUAUUUUAUUUUAUUUAUUUAUUUUUUUUUUAGUAGUAGCUACUCUUGCUAUUAUUUUUAUUAAGAGAGAGAAAAUGAAUACAAAUGAUGGUUGCCUGAUGAGAAUGUUUCUCGGUUCUUCCUGGAGCCAAUAUUCCUUACCUCUCGGUGUUGUGUUUGCUUUACUAGAAGAAAGCAUUAAGUACAUUAGAUACGUUGCCAUCAGGAUGGCUGUUUUAAAAUAUAAGACUGAUCAUGUCAUAGGCCUUCUUUAAAAUCCCACAGAGGCCUGCCAUUGCCUUCAAAAUGAAAUGUGAAGUCUUUAGCAUGAUAUGUAAGGCUCCUUGUGAUUUGAUCUUUUAAUUUCAUCUAAUCCAAUUUCAUUGGCUUUUCCUUAACCACAGUCCUUUGCCACAAUUUGGGUUAUGUGUCCCAAUUGUGUGUCCCUACAAUAUUCUGGCGUUAUUUGUCUCCCAGUACUUAUUAUACUAAAUUGUAUGGGUCUGCUUCCUUGCUCAGGAAAGGAAGUCCACAAUUAGACUUUAUUUUGUUUGCUGUUGUCUAGCACAGGAAUCAGCAAACUUUUUCUAAUUUGGUAAAUGCUUUCGGUUUUGUACUGUCACUGACGCAACUACUCGGUUCUGUCGUUGUAGCACAAGAGCAGCCAUAGACAAUAUGCAAAGGAACGAACGUGACUGUGUUCCAGCAAAACUCUAUGGAUUCGGAUUUGAAUUUUUAGAAUUUGAAUUUCAUGUAAUUUUCGUGUAUCAUGAGAUGGUAUUCUUUUAAUUUUUUUCACCCAUUUAAAAAUGUAAAAAUUAUUCUUAGUCUCUGGGUUCUACAAUAACAAGCAGCAAGAAAAAUUUGACCUGUAUGGUAUUUGCUGAUCCCUGGUCUAGCAAAAUGCCUGGCAUAGAAAUGGUGCUUAGCCCAUACCUUUGAGUAAAUGAGUAAAGGGGUAUAUUUUCAUUGAAAUUGUUUUCAAGGGAAAAACAAGGAGGAAAUUUACAUGACCACCUGUUGCCUGUAUUAUAGAGGCUAAACUGCAUAGCGUGGCAUGGAAGAAACUUCACAGUCUGGUUUGGUAAUUACUGUCCUCUUACUCAUCUGAUGGCACCUCAUGGCCCCUUCCCAGUACCCUCUAUGCUGCAACUCACAUUACGAAUUGACAUUCUCUGGAGCACCAUGCGCAUUCCUACCGCUAGGCCAUGUGUCUUGUCUCUUUCUCUAUAUGGAAUGUGCUUUCCUAUUGUUGGUUUGUUUUAAUUUUUUUCUCACAGAACUAUUAUUUGUCCUUCAUGAUUCAGCUCUUCUCCAGAUAGAAAAGAAGGGAUGGGGACUUGGUGAGGGCACCAUCCUUCUGUUUCUGCGGGGCUUUUAUAUAUCUCUAGGGUAGCACUGUCCACAUUGUAUUUCACCUUUUACCUUUGUGUGUGUUGCUUUUCCCAACACGUUUUGAAGUCACAUGCCUUGUGCCAGUGUAGAACUUGGCAUUGGUGGGCAUUUAUUAACAACUUAAUAACAUGAAGCUUUUUCAUAUAAAUGUGAAUUCCCAGUAUCCUACUGAGACUGGCAUUGGCUUAAUCUACAAUGAUGAGACUAACUUUUAGUAAUUAUUGUCAGGUGACCUCGGUGUUUAACAUUGAAAUGAAUACAAUUAAAAUGGAAUAUAAUUGUAGGUAUUAACAAGGCAUUGAAAAAAUUGGAAACUUGGUUGAAAGCAUUAUGUAUGGCAUAUAGCAUCAAUUUUAUUUUAUUUUUUAUUUUUUAUUUUUUUUCAACAUCAAUUUUAUAACUUGAUUUCAAGUUUAGUUGUACUGAAAUCUCUAGAUAUUUAAAAAAAAAGGCUGUCUUUAAGCCUUUGCUUAAAGACAUUUGUGUGAAUAAAUAUUGAUAUCAUCUAACCACAUAUGUGUAUUGCUCUUGUUCUCUGGAAACACAAAGGACAGUGAUAGUACUGGGGAUUUUGUGGUCAAAUGUAAUGGAUUUUGGUUCAUGAUUAUGUUAUUUCAGCAAGUUAAUAGGUUUCAAAACUUUACUUUUGUGGAAUUUAGCUGAAUGAGAUGGGAAACAUUUUGUAAUGUACAUUAAUUACCAUGUCAGGUGUUCUGUUAUUAUAAAUUAUCUCAAACAUUUUAUACAUGCUCAGUCCUUAUUUACUGUGGGAAUACUCAGGACCUUAUAUCAUAGAUCUCCUAGUUCCCUGGGGAAAUUUCCUGCAUUCUCCCAAACUAUAAGAUUUCCAAUUGAGAUCAGUGUUCUGGGUGUAUUUCACCAUAAAUAUCUUGGGAAAUCUCUCUAGGAAUUGAAGGCACAUCAUCAUGUGCAACGAAUAACAAGCUUUUCCAUUGUUGGGCAUUUAUUUUCAUUCGUUCUGAUAAUUAUAACAGAUCAUAGUGAGUUUCAAUGAUAAUUUACGUUGUCAUUAUAAACAGAAUGUCUGAACGUUGGCUGCUCACCUUUUUUUUUUUUUUUUAAGAGGAUUGCAUACUAAUGAUUGGAAAUCAGCACGUAUUCAGUUGGUCCAGGUGUUUCUAAAAUAUGUGCCAUGUUAAUGUGAAAAACAAGAGCAACUAUGCUCAGGUGAACUUACCUGGUAUUUAACUUGUCGGAAGUCAUUACAUGGGGGAAAAAAGUUUUCUUGCGGUUAUAGGAGAAAACAAUGAUGCAGAAUGUUAACAGAUUAUACUCCAGAAUAGGGAUAUUUCACGCUAAGCCCCCAUCCUUAGGCCUUUGGAUACCUGACUUAAUUUUAAGCUAGAAUUUAUUUUCUUACAAAUUCUCUGGAAUCCAGACCCCUUCGUGAUAGGAAUUGUGUCCCGUAGCUUUGUGUAUUUAGCAGUGCCUGGUACAGUGUCUUGUAUAUACAUUUGCUGAAUUAAAUCAUAUUUAUAAACAGUUCAGACAGUAUGUAUGCAAAAGAGGUGAUCUCUAAAUUGCCCUCCUAGAAUAACUUUUCAAAUGUGUGCUAUUUCUAUAGGCAUAAAAUAAUUAAAUGAUGGUCUCAGCAUUCAUUCACUGAGAACCUAGUAUCUUAUAUUUUACACAUUAACUUGCUUAACUUUCAAAACAGUGGUACGAGGUAAGCAUUAAUCCCUCCAGGAAGCUGAGGCUCAGGGAAAUUAACUUGAAUUUAUGUGUAAAAUAAUAAUAAUAUUUACUUCAUUGGGUUUGUGAGGAUUAACUGGGUUGGAUUGUAGACCAAACGUCCUGCUGCAUGGGAAGCUUUAAGUAAUUUAGCUAGUACUAUUAAGGUCAUGUAGCUAUAAAGUUGGAGAGUUGGGAUUACAUCCCUGAUCCAUUGUUUCAUUUCAGAGCCUGUGCCUUUUUCAUCACUGUGUUCCAAUGCCAUGGGCAAAAUAUUUGGUGCAAUAAUUAUCCUUCUCAUUAUGAGCUCCAGAAGGGCAAAGGAUGAGACUUUUUCUUUUGUAUCAUCUACUAGUAUCCUGUACCCACGGUCAUAAAUGUUGGCAACUUGACUGACUUGGCAGGGAUACUGUUUCUAGUCUUGGUUUCCAGAAGAAUGAUUGGUAGGUCUUGCGAGUCUGGGUAGGACUCAGAGGAAUGUUGGUAUAGUGUGCCUCAUACCUAAUAUUUUAAAGGCCCUCCCUCCCCUACUAUUCUACUCCCUGCAUCUUGAUUUUAGAUUUUGUUUCCUUUGUGCCUGUGUAAAGAAGGGGCUGGGUCUGUGUACAGGCAGAAUUAACAUUUUUCCAAUUAGCUCUGCCAGUAUUUCUGUUUCAUUCUGAAGUCCCUUCUGGUGGUCGUGCCCUGGGAUUUUCAAAGAGAGCCUUUUUCACUCGAGGGGUAAAAAUGUCUUUGUGUUUUUGGAGGUAAGAGAAUUAAAAAAAAGUCAUUGAGUCUUAUAACCCUAGAGAACUUUCCUGAAAGGGAAUUUGAGUAAAAAAUGAGCUGUCAGCGUCCUUGAGGUCCCUUGCUAGUCACUGAAUGAUGCCUCAUUUGUCAAAUAUAGUUGUCUGUCUUUCCUUGAAGAUCCUGCUGCUGGUGGGGGAUCUCCAUGCUGUGCGUGAGGAACUCAACAACAAAGUCAGGACCAGCAGUUUUGUUCUUGGGGGUGCCUUGUGUGACUCAGGUUUUUUUCCCCUCUAGUUUUCUUUUUAUUAUGGUAAAAUAUACAUAACCCAAAAUUUACCAUUUUAAUCCUUUUUAAGUGUAUGAUUCAUCAGCAUUAAGAGCACUCACAUUGUUGUGUGACUGUCACCACCAUCCAUCUCCAGAACUCUUUCAUCCUCCCAGACUCAAAUUGAGGGUCCAUUACACAGGGACUCCCCAUUCUCUCUCCUUUGAGCCCCUGGCGACCACCAUUCUGCCUUCUGUCUCUACAAGUUUGUCUGCCUGUGUUUCAGUUUUAUAACUCCAUAAUUUAUUGGUUUAAAUUGAGGCCUACUACCUUCCUUUUUUCCCUUGUUGCGGUUAUUAUCUGAUUAUUGGGAUUGAUGUUCCACUGCUAGAUCUAUGUGAGGAUGUGAACUUAAUGCAAUUCCCUUGCGAUCAGUAUUCCCUCUUGCUUCUCUAUAUAGUAACCCCUUAAAUUUCAUUAUCACACCAUGAGGGCAAGAACUGUAUCUAUUCUGUUUACCACUGUAUAACCAGGGUCUAGUGCCUUGUUUGUAGAAGAACAAAUGUACAGAAUAAACAAAUGCUGCCGAUCUUUAUCACUGAAAAAAUUAUUUACUUAAAAAUUCAUUUAAAUAUCUUUUGCUGAGAGUUUCUACUAUGCAGGAGACCAGCUAAAACAGCAACUCCUACCCUUCUGUGAUUCUCUCUCUAAAAAUAAGCUGUGGUGGUCCAAUCCAGUUGACUCUGGGCUUCUGCCCCUCCAGAUCACUUAUUUAUUCUUUAAUUUAUUCAUCCAUCAAAUAUUUAUUGAGUACCUGCUACGUUUUAUGUGCUGGCUGUGCAAUGAUGCACAAAAUGGCCACGAUCCUUGAACUCAUGGAAAGAGUCCUAGUAGAGAGCACAGGCUAUAAAAAGUGAACACACAAAUGAUACAUUAGUUGUAAAUUUUGUGGAGGAUAAAAGAUGGGAUGCUAUCAGAAAGAUUGAUGAUGGGUGGACAACUUUAAAUCGAUGGAACUGGAGAAAUGAUAACUGUUUUCAUGUUGGUGAAGAGCUGUGCUCUCUAUAUAGGAGAGCAAGAGGGCAUGUUGGGAAGAUGUAAAAAGGUCGAAGGGGUAGACAUUCUUAGAGUACAGAUUUUGGCUGCUUAUGGAAGAAUUUGCAACUAGAGCUCUUCAAAGUUGAAACGCGUGGCCUUUUUUCAGGUUGUCUGUCACUGGAAUGAUAUCACUAGCUAGGCACAGCUUCGGCUAACAGUGGCAGGUUGUUUUCCAAACCUGGUUGGCCUUCAGAAUCACUAAUUUAUGUGGAAAGGUCCAGGCCAGUGCUUUGUAUUUAAUGGUAAUGCUUAAUAAAUCCUGUGGAAUUUGAUUUUGCAUUGCUCUUUGGUAUGUUUAAUCACGGCAGCCAAGAUGAAAAGAAUCUGAAAAUGAUUCUAAAUUAUUUCCAGCUCACAAACAAAAUUAAUUGCUCAGCAGCAUUGGUUAACAUACUGUCUGAUUAGGUCUGAAUGCUGCCAACUGUGGUCCACUAAUGUGCUAAGUGUACGUAGUAACCUUGUGGAUACAGCUUUCUGAUGACUUGCCUUUCAGUGCCUAACCUGGAGUGAAGACUUGAGAUGCCAGUAGGCUCUUUCAACUCAAUAUCUGUUGAUAGAACUCAUCGGAAUAAUAUGUAUCUUAAAGAUUUGGGUAAUUUGUUUUACAGUAGCUCACUAAAAUGUCAGUUAACAGUCAGAUAGAUAUCAAGUAUUUAAGGACCAUCUACUGUUCCAGGCACUACUGAUGAAAGAUGGACCUAACGUUGGUAGUAAUUUUCACUCUGCACAUGUUGAUGACACCAAAUGGGUAGGCUUUGUGAGAUAGAACCUGUUGCCAUUAUAUCAAUUAUUAUAAAAGUGUAAUAGUACUUUGGCAUUUGAUUAUGCUGUAUUUGAAGGUGACUUUACAUUAUCACUUAGAGCUAAUCUAUUAUAUUUACAUAUUGAAUUUCCAGCAGUGCUUAACUGUAGAUGGUCAAGAUUUGAAGACUGUAUAGUUGAGUAAAAUAGGUUAUUAGAUGAAAUGACUUAGCUUUGACACAUUCCACUAAAAAGCAAUUUCAUUAUUAUUGCAGUUAGUAAGUGAUACUGUACAACGUACGGUGCAAGUUCAUUACUCCCACUGUGGUAUUGGGCUGGUCACAAGCAUGAUUUUAGUAGCAUCAAUUCCACAUGUGUGACGAUGACAUGUGUAGUGUUAAAUAUCUGGAUGUAGUGUUCGCCUGAAGAAUUCGAUAUUAGAAUUUUAGACUUACUCUGAAUUCAAGUCUCAGACGGUACCCAUCAACAAUAGCAAAACUCCUUUCCUUUUCCUUGUUGGGUGCUUGUUACCACCCUUACUUUUGAAAUGCGUUAACCAGGAAAAUUGCGUUCUAUUUGAACCUUCGUUAGUUCAAACCUGUUAACAUGCUAUGGUUAUAGAUUUGUGGGCGGGUAGCGGUAGGCAUCAGUUUCUAUUGUGCCGCCCUUAACUAUAAAUACAACAUAUUUGUAAGCUACAAACCUUGAAUUUAUCUCCCCUAUUUCCAGGUAGUAAAAAUUCUACCUCAUUUAUAGUCUCAUAACCUAAUCCUUCUUAAGCAGCGUAACCCACUGAAUUUACUGAUCUUUUGUCCAUAAACUACAAAUGCUCAAUAAUAGGCUAAAUUUGCAUGACAGCAUCUGCAGGUGAUCUAAGUGUUCCCCUUGUGAAGCUGCAUGAUUUUAAAUAUGGGACCAUGAAUGCCUCUUGGGCAGGGAAUUGAUUUCCAGCAUUUUAACAAGGAGGGUGUGUAAGUGUGCAUCGAGGCUCUGAACUCUGUUGUUAACUGGGCAGAUUUCAGAGCGAUGUUUGUCUGCAGCAUGAGUGCACUUACAUUAUUUACUACAAACAACAUUUCCCUCCAGUAUUUAUAUUUAAGUGAUUUUUAUUCUAACCUUGCAAUAAUCAGGAAAAGAGGACUUUAUUUUUUUUUCUCUUCUAAGUGCAUUUUACUGUAGGAUAUUUAGCAGUGUUAGAGUAUCAAAAACAUACUGAUUUUGUUAUUGGUAACGUUAAAUUUCAAGUACUAUAUUUUAGAUUGAAUUAUAUCCCGUUAAAUUGCCGAAUAUUUGCUUCUGUAGAAUAAAUUUAGGAAUAAGACAAAGUCGGAGAUGAAAUAAUUUGGAUACAGUUUCACUCUUGUAGAGAUUUUUCUACUUUGGCGCUUUGGGAAAUUUCAAUAAGAACAUAAGCAGUGGCAGUUUGAAGGUACUAAUCAAAAUGGGAAAGAUCUUUCUGACCACAGGCACCUUUGUGCCUCCACAAAACAUCUAGAGUUAAAACACCACCACCAUCGACACUCUAUUAUAAACCAGUCUGUUUUGUUGGAAAUGCUGAGUUAUGAGAAGGAUGGUGUGUGUGCCUCUCACUGGUUUCUAUAUGGUACAUUCACC